ACGGGAGGCAGCAGUGGGGAAUAUUGGGCAAUGGAGGCAACUCUGACCCAGCAACGCCGCGUGAAGGAUGAAGGUUCUAGGAUUGUAAACUUCUGUCGCAGGGGACGAAGAAUGACGGUACCCUGUAAGAAAGCCCCGGCUAACUAUGUGCCAGCAGCCGCGGUAAUACAUAGGGGGCGAGCGUUGUCCGGAAUGACUGGGCGUAAAGGGAGUGUAGGCGGUUUUGCAAGUUAUGAGUGAAAGCCCGCGGCUCAACUGCGGAAUUGCUCAUAAAACUGCAUGACUGGAGUACAGGAGAGGUAAGCGGAAUUCCUAGUGUAGCGGUGGAAUGCGUAGAUAUUAGGAAGAACACCAGAGGCGAAGGCGGCUUACUGGACUGCAACUGACGCUGAGGCUCGAAAGCGUGGGGAGCAAACAAGAUUAGAUACCCUGGUA
RNAcentral lists this ribosomal RNA (435 nucleotides) under uncultured bacterium. RNAcentral describes it as "bacterial SSU rRNA". It matches the Rfam family "Bacterial small subunit ribosomal RNA", at positions 341 to 792 of the family's 1533-position model. The record is from RNAcentral.